This 83-nucleotide transfer RNA is filed under the name Fusarium pseudograminearum CS3096. RNAcentral's name for it is "tRNA-Val for anticodon CAC". It matches the Rfam family "tRNA". Rfam says of the family: Transfer RNA (tRNA) molecules are approximately 80 nucleotides in length. Their secondary structure includes four short double-helical elements and three loops (D, anti-codon, and T loops). Lineage: Eukaryota; Fungi; Ascomycota; Sordariomycetes; Hypocreales; Nectriaceae. The record is from Rfam by way of RNAcentral.
GGUCGAGUGGUGUAGUGGUGAUCACGUUCGCCUCACAUUUAGUGUCUCGCGAAAGGUCUUGGGUUCAAUCCCCGAUUCGACCU